Molecule: ribosomal RNA, 956 nt
Filed under: uncultured Pseudomonadota bacterium
Lineage: Bacteria; Pseudomonadati; Pseudomonadota
Description: bacterial SSU rRNA
Rfam family: Bacterial small subunit ribosomal RNA
Source: RNAcentral
UAGAGUUUGAUCAUGGCUCAGAACGAACGCUGGCGGCGUGCUUAACACAUGCAAGUCGAACGAGAAAUCUUUUCUUCGGAAGAGAGAGUAAAGUGGCGCACGGGUGAGUAACGCGUAGAUAAUCUACCCUCAGGUCGGGGAUAACACUGCGAAAGCGGUGCUAAUACCGGAUAAGCUCGAUUUGGUGCGAAUCAGGUCGAGGAAAGGUGGCCUCUGAUCCAAGCUAUCGCCUGAGGAUGGGUCUGCGUAUCAUUAGCUAGUAGGUGGGGUAAGGGCCUACCUAUGCAACGAUGGUUAGCGGGUCUGAGAGGAUGAUCCGCCACACUGGAACUGGAACACGGACCAGACUCCUACGGGAGGCAGCAGUGAGGAAUUUUGCGCAAUGGGGGCAACCCUGACGCAGCGACGCCGCGUGGGUGAAGAAGGCCUUCGGGUUGUAAAGCUCUGUCAGAUGGGAAUAAGUUCAAUCAUGUUAGGAGCAUGGUUGUUUGAAGGUACCAUCAGAGGAAGCACCGGCUAACUCCGUGCCAGCAGCCGCGGUAAUACGGAGGGUGCAAGCGUUGUUCGGAAUCACUGGGCGUAAAGGGCACGCAGGCGGCCGAUCAAGUCAGGUGUGAAAUUCCAGGGCUCAACCCUGGACGUGCAUCUGAAACUGGUUGGCUUGAGUAUGGGAGAGGAAAGUGGAAUUCCCGGUGUAGAGGUGAAAUUCGUAGAUAUCGGGAGGAAUACCUGAGGCGAAGGCGACUUUCUGGACCAAUACUGACGCUGAGGUGCGAAAGCGUGGGUAGCGAACAGGAUUAGAUACCCUGGUAGUCCACAGCUGUAAACGAUGUGCACUAGAUGUUGGGGGAGUUGACCCCUUCAGUGUCGCAGCUAACGCGAUAAGUGCACCGCCUGGGGGAGUACGGGCCGCAAGGUUAAAACUCAAAGGAAUUGACGGGGGCCCGCACAAGCGG